Molecule: non-coding RNA, 30 nt
Filed under: Rattus norvegicus (Norway rat)
Lineage: Eukaryota; Metazoa; Chordata; Mammalia; Rodentia; Muridae
Source: RNAcentral
UAUAAUGUUGCCUGCAGUUACUUUAACAAU